UCGGCUUAGAGUUUGAUCAUGGCUCAGGACGAACGCUGGCGGCGUGCCUAAUACAUGCAAGUCGAACGCUGGAGCUUGCUCCAGGAGUGGCGAACGGGUGAGUAACACGCGGGUAACCUGCCCAUCAGAAGGGGAUAACACUUGGAAACAGGUGCUAAUACCGUAUAACAAUCGAACCGCAUGGUUUCGGUUGAAAGGCGUUUUCGUCACUGAUGGAUGGACCCGCGGUGCAUUAGCUAGUUGGUGAGGUAACGGCUCACCAAGGCAACGAUGCAUAGCCGACCUGAGAGGGUGAUCGGCCACAUUGGGACUGAGACACGGCCCAAACUCCUACGGGAGGCAGCAGUAGGGAAUCUUCGGCAAUGGACGAAAGUCUGACCGAGCAACGCCGCGUGAGUGAAGAAGGUUUUCGGAUCGUAAAACUCUGUUGUUAGAGAAGAACAAGGAUGAGGAAUUUCAUCCCUUGACGGUAUCUAACCAGAAAGCCACGGCUAACUACGUGCCAGCAGCCGCGGUAAUACGUAGGUGGCAAGCGUUGUCCGGAUUUAUUGGGCGUAAAGCGAGCGCAGGCGGUUUCUUAAGUCUGAUGUGAAAGCCCCCGGCUCAACCGGGGAGGGUCAUUGGAAACUGGGAAACUUGAGUGCAGAAGAGGAGAGUGGAAUUCCAUGUGUAGCGGUGAAAUGCGUAGAUAUAUGGAGGAACACCAGUGGCGAAGGCG
RNAcentral lists this ribosomal RNA (718 nucleotides) under uncultured Enterococcus sp. Its description in RNAcentral is "bacterial SSU rRNA". It matches the Rfam family "Bacterial small subunit ribosomal RNA", at positions 1 to 723 of the family's 1533-position model. Lineage: Bacteria; Bacillati; Bacillota; Bacilli; Lactobacillales; Enterococcaceae. The record is from RNAcentral.